CAAGAAGGCUCUUUUAAGAGCACUUUAAAGAGUAGAGAGCACUAAUGAAGCUGUUUCAUCUUUGCUGGCUGUGUGUUUACAAGGUGGGGGUAAAGGGAAUCCUGCUGCGCGUAGCAAAUGCAUGUAGGGCAAAGCAGUUAAUGGGAUGAAAAUGAAAUCUAUACCCAGGGCUUAAUUAAGAAGUUGUUUUUAUUCAUGUUCCAGGAGCAAGCCCCCCGGAUCAGAGAUGCUGAACGCUUGCUGGGUUGUUGUCCUGCACGGGCUGGGGUCUGUGAGCCACUGACGCACCAGCAGAAUUAUUUAAAUACUGUUUUUGUGUCUUCAGUGGAUAGCAAUAGGAGAAUGAGUUUUGCAGAGAAUUUGGACCGCAGUCGUGAAGAAAGAUGCAGAGCUCCAUGUGAGUGAAACCAAUGACCACCCGGGGACGGAGGCAAUCAGCAGGCCUUGAGCUGCCAUGGUCACCUCCCGGCACCUCCGGCCUUGUGUGCCUGAGGAUGGGCCAUCACCUUCCUGCUUGUUUCCCAGAAGCCAGCAAUAGGAUUAGUGCACGUGAGGAGCUGCCUGCUUGCUUCAGGGCCUCUCUUCUGACCAGUGGACUUCACUUUCUGCCAGAACUCAGGCCUGCAGUGGAGAGAAGUGCUGCCAUGCUCAGUCUGUGCCAAGGUGGUGGCACACAGUCCUGGCCCAAGAGAAUCCAGCCCUAUGCUAUAAGUAUAAUGCAUCUAUCUAGUCCCAGGUGA
Molecule: long non-coding RNA, 740 nt
Organism: Numida meleagris (helmeted guineafowl)
Lineage: Eukaryota; Metazoa; Chordata; Aves; Galliformes; Numididae
Source: Ensembl